This 380-nucleotide ribosomal RNA is filed under the name uncultured eukaryote. RNAcentral describes it as "partial 18S ribosomal RNA". It matches the Rfam family "Eukaryotic small subunit ribosomal RNA", at positions 592 to 976 of the family's 1831-position model. The record is from RNAcentral.
CAAUAGCGUAUAUUAAAGUUGUUGCGGUUAAAAAGCUCGUAGUUGGAUUUCUGCUGAGAACGACCGGUCCGCCCUUUGGGUGUGUAUCUGGCUCUUUCUUGGCAUCUUCUUGGUGAACGUUGCUGCACUUGACUGUGUGGAGCGCUACCCAGGACUUUUACUUUGAGGAAAUUAGAGUGUUUCAAGCAGGCAUACGCCUUGAAUACAUUAGCAUGGAAUAAUAAGAUAGGACCUCGGUUCUAUUUUGUUGGUUUCUAGAGCUGAGGUAAUGAUUAAUAGGGAUAGUUGGGGGCAUUCGUAUUUAACUGUCAGAGGUGAAAUUCUUGGAUUUGUUAAAGUCGGACUACUGCGAAAGCAUUUGCCAAGGAUGUUUNCAUUGA